This is a non-coding RNA of Neogale vison (American mink), 73 nucleotides long. The record is from the annotation of a RefSeq genome assembly. NCBI's taxonomy places the organism in Eukaryota, Metazoa, Chordata, Mammalia, Carnivora, Mustelidae.
ACCUGGCUGGCUCAGUUGGAAGAGUAUGUGACUUUUGAUUUCAGGGUCAUGGGUUCAAGACCCACGUUGGGUA